CGUUGGUGAACCAGCGGAGGGAUCAUUACCGAGUUUUCAACUCCCAAACCCCAUGUGAACUUAUACCAUUUACACCGUUGCUUCGGCGGGUUCUCGCCCCGGGCUUUACAACCCCGGAACCAGGCGGCCCGCCGGGGGACCCAAACUCUAGAUUUUAUUUUAGCAUGUCUGAGUGGAAUCAUUACAAAAUGAAUCAAAACUUUCAACAACGGAUCUCUUGGUUCUGGCAUCGAUGAAGAACGCAGCGAAAUGCGAUAAGUAAUGUGAAUUGCAGAAUUCAGUGAAUCAUCGAAUCUUUGAACGCACAUUGCGCCCGCCAGUAUUCUGGCGGGCAUGCCUGUUCGAGCGUCAUUUCAACCCUCAAGCCCCAGCGGUUUGGUGUUGGGGACCGGCGAGUACGGAGGCGGGGGGGACUUGUCCCCUCUUCCCUCGGCGCCGCCCCCGAAAUGAAUUGGCGGUCUCGUCGCGGCCUCCUCUGCGUAGUAGCACAACCUCGCAUCAGGAGCGCGGCGCGGCCACUGCCGUAAAACGCCCAACUUUUUUAAGAGUUGACCUCGAAUCAGGUAGGAAUACCCGCUGAACUUAAGCAUAUCAAUAAGCGGAGGAAAAGAAACCAACAGGGAUUGCCCCAGUAACGGCGAGUGAAGCGGCAACAGCUCAAAUUUGAAAUCUGGCCCCUAGGGCCCGAGUUGUAAUUUGCAGAGGAUGCUUUUGGCGAGGUGCCUUCCGAGUUCCCUGGAACGGGACGCCAUAGAGGGUGAGAGCCCCGUCUGGUUGGAUGCCGAGCCUCUGUAAAGCUCCUUCGACGAGUCGAGUAGUUUGGGAAUGCUGCUCUAAAUGGGAGGUAUAUGUCUUCUAAAGCUAAAUACCGGCCAGAGACCGAUAGCGCACAAGUAGAGUGAUCGAAAGAUGAAAAGCACUUUGAAAAGAGGGUUAAAUAGUACGUGAAAUUGUUGAAAGGGAAGCACUUAUGACCAGACUUGGACCCGGUGAAUCAUCCAGCGUUCUCGCUGGUGCACUUUGCCGGGCUCAGGCCAGCAUCAGUUUGCCCCGGGGGAUAAAGGCUUUGGGAAUGUGGCUCCCUCGGGAGUGUUAUAGCCCAUUGCACAAUACCCUGGGGCGGACUGAGGUUCGCGCAUCUGCAAGGAUGCUGG
RNAcentral lists this small RNA (1154 nucleotides) under Pochonia chlamydosporia. RNAcentral's name for it is "eukaryotic LSU rRNA". The stretch from base 550 to 1154 matches the Rfam family "Eukaryotic large subunit ribosomal RNA", at positions 1 to 629 of the family's 3401-position model. Lineage: Eukaryota; Fungi; Ascomycota; Sordariomycetes; Hypocreales; Clavicipitaceae. The record is from RNAcentral.